UGGGGAGUGGCCAAGCGGUAAGGCACCUGACUCUGGAUCAGGUAAUCGAAGGUUCGAAUCCUUCCUCCCCAG
RNAcentral lists this transfer RNA (72 nucleotides) under Chloroflexota bacterium. Its description in RNAcentral is "tRNA-Gln". It matches the Rfam family "tRNA". From Rfam's summary of the family: Transfer RNA (tRNA) molecules are approximately 80 nucleotides in length. Their secondary structure includes four short double-helical elements and three loops (D, anti-codon, and T loops). The record is from RNAcentral. Lineage: Bacteria; Bacillati; Chloroflexota.